AGGAUGAACGCUAGCUACAGGCUUAACACAUGCAAGUCGAGGGGAAACGAUAGGGAAAGCUUGCUUUUCCUAGGCGUCGACCGGCGCACGGGUGAGUAACGCGUAUCCAACCUGCCCAUGUCUGGGGAAUAACCCGUCGAAAGGCGGACUAACUCCCCAUGGUCUCCGAUGAGGACAUCUGAAUUGGAGUAAAGCUUCGCGGACAUGGAUGGGGAUGCGUCUGAUUAGGUAGUAGGCGGGGUAACGGCCCACCUAGCCUACGAUCAGUAGGGGUUCUGAGAGGAAGGUCCCCCACAUUGGAACUGAGACACGGUCCAAACUCCUACGGGAGGCAGCAGUGAGGAAUAUUGGUCAAUGGACGCGAGUCUGAACCAGCCAAGUAGCGUGCAGGAUGACGGCCCUAUGGGUUGUAAACUGCUUUUGCGCGGGGAUAACACCCUCCACGUGCUGGAGGUCUGCAGGUACCGCGCGAAUAAGGACCGGCUAAUUCCGUGCCAGCAGCCGCGGUAAUACGGAAGGUCCGGGCGUUAUCCGGAUUUAUUGGGUUUAAAGGGAGCGUAGGCCGUGAGGUAAGCGUGUUGUGAAAUGUAGGCGCCCAACGUCUGCACUGCAGCGCGAACUGCCCCACUUGAGUGCGCGCAACGCCGGCGGAACUCGUCGUGUAGCGGUGAAAUGCUUAGAUAUGACGAAGAACCCCGAUUGCGAAGGCAGCUGGCGGGAGCGUAACUGACGC
RNAcentral lists this ribosomal RNA (733 nucleotides) under uncultured organism. Its description in RNAcentral is "SSU rRNA". It matches the Rfam family "Bacterial small subunit ribosomal RNA", at positions 26 to 746 of the family's 1533-position model. The record is from RNAcentral.